This 252-nucleotide ribosomal RNA is filed under the name uncultured prokaryote. Its description in RNAcentral is "partial 16S rRNA". It matches the Rfam family "Archaeal small subunit ribosomal RNA", at positions 475 to 726 of the family's 1478-position model. The record is from RNAcentral.
ACCGGCAGCUCAAGUGGUGGCCAUUUUUAUUGGGCCUAAAGCGUUCGUAGCCGGUUUGAUAAGUCUCUGGUGAAAUCUCGCAGCUUAACUGUGGGACGUGCUGGAGAUACUAUUAGACUUAAGGUCGGGAGAGGUUAGGGGUACUCCCAGGGUAGGGGUGAAAUCCUAUAAUCCUGGGAGGACCACCUGUGGCGAAGGCGCCUAACUUUAUUGUACCUGACGUUUAUUAACGAAAGCUUUUUUUUUUACCCG